AAGAGACGUUGCCCUUCGGGGUAUACCUCCCACCCUUUGUUUAUUAUACCUUUGUUGCUUUGGCGGGCCCGUCCUCGGACCACCGGCUUCUGCUGGUCAGUGCCCGCCAGAGGACCUAAAACUCUGUUUGUUAAUAUUGUCUGAGUACUAUAUAAUAGUUAC
RNAcentral lists this unclassified non-coding RNA (162 nucleotides) under soil metagenome. Its description in RNAcentral is "partial internal transcribed spacer 1". The record is from RNAcentral.